CCAAGGAGUCUAACAUGUGCGCGAGUCGUCGGGUCUUGAACAGGCCCGCAGGCGUAAUGAAAGUGAAGGGUGACCUCUGCGUCGCCUGCGUUGGGAUCCCCGGUUCCUUGGGUCCGGGGCGCACCAACGGCCCGUCCCGUCCGCACCGUCGGAGGGACGGAGCGAGAGCGUACACGUUGGGACCCGAAAGAUGGUGAACUAUGCCUGGGCAGGACGAGGCCAGAGGAAACUCUGGUGGAGGUCCGCAGCGAUUCUGACGUGCAAAUCGAUCGUCAGACCUGGGUAUAGGGGCGAAAGACUAAUCGAACCAUC
RNAcentral lists this ribosomal RNA (312 nucleotides) under Scorpio palmatus. RNAcentral describes it as "eukaryotic LSU rRNA". It matches the Rfam family "Eukaryotic large subunit ribosomal RNA", at positions 666 to 944 of the family's 3401-position model. Lineage: Eukaryota; Metazoa; Arthropoda; Arachnida; Scorpiones; Scorpionidae. The record is from RNAcentral.